Molecule: ribosomal RNA, 480 nt
Filed under: uncultured bacterium
Lineage: Bacteria
Description: bacterial SSU rRNA
Rfam family: Bacterial small subunit ribosomal RNA
Source: RNAcentral
UGGGGAAUCUUUGGACAAUGGGGGCAACCCUGAUCCAGCCAUGCCGCGUGAGUGAUGAAGGCCUUAGGGUCGUAAAGCUCUUUCGCCUGUGAAGAUAAUGACGGUAGCAGGUAAAGAAACCCCGGCUAACUCCGUGCCAGCAGCCGCGGUAAUACGGAGGGGGUUAGCGUUGUUCGGAAUUACUGGGCGUAAAGCGCACGUAGGCGGACCAGAAAGUUGGGGGUGAAAUCCCGGGGGCUCAACCCCGGAACUGCCUCCAAAACUAUUGGUCUAGAGUUCGAGAGAGGUGAGUGGAAUUCCAAGUGUAGAGGUGAAAUUCGUAGAUAUUUGGAGGAACACCAGUGGCGAAGGCGGCUCACUGGCUCGAUACUGACGCUGAGGUGCGAAAGUGUGGGGAGCAAACAGGAUUAGAUACCCUGGUAGUCCACACCGUAAAACGAUGAAUGCCAGUCGUCGGGUAGCAUGCUAUUCGGUGACACA